UGGGGAAUAUUGGACAAUGGGCGCAAGCCUGAUCCAGCCAUGCCUCGUGAGUGAUGAAGGCCCUAGGGUUGUAAAGCUCUUUCACCGGUGAAGAUAAUGACGGUAACCGGAGAAGAAGCCCCGGCUAACUUCGUGCCAGCAGCCGCGGUAAUACGAAGGGGGCUAGCGUUGUUCGGAUUUACUGGGCGUAAAGCGCACGUAGGCGGACUUUUAAGUCAGGGGUGAAAUCCCGGGGCUCAACCCCGGAACUGCCUUUGAUACUGGAAGUCUUGAGUAUGGUAGAGGUGAGUGGAAUUCCGAGUGUAGAGGUGAAAUUCGUAGAUAUUCGGAGGAACACCAGUGGCGAAGGCGGCUCACUGGACCAUUACUGACGCUGAGGUGCGAAAGCGUGGGGAGCAAACAGG
Molecule: ribosomal RNA, 404 nt
Filed under: Actinomycetes bacterium
Lineage: Bacteria; Bacillati; Actinomycetota; Actinomycetes
Description: Actinobacteria bacterium partial 16S ribosomal RNA
Rfam family: Bacterial small subunit ribosomal RNA
Source: RNAcentral